This 1106-nucleotide unclassified non-coding RNA is filed under the name Helicoverpa zea (corn earworm). Its description in RNAcentral is "brachyurin-like, transcript variant X2". Lineage: Eukaryota; Metazoa; Arthropoda; Insecta; Lepidoptera; Noctuidae. The record is from RNAcentral.
AUAAAUAAUGGGUCCAAAUCUGAUUGAAGCACUUGUUAGUCUCGACAAUAUCAAACAUGAAGCUGUUCCUUGGAGUGUGCUUGGCUUUGGCCGUCGCCGUAUCGGCAGUGGAGAUCGCCACUCCUGACGCCGACAGCCCUGUCUUCGGCUACCACGCCAAGUUUGGUAUUGCUGAGGCUGCGAGGAUCAAGAGCGCGGAAGAAGUUCAGAGCUUCAACGGCCAGAGGAUCGUUGGAGGAUCCAUCACCAACAUUGCCAACGUCCCAUACCAGGCUGGUCUUGUGAUCACCAUCUUCAUCUUCCAAUCCGUGUGCGGUGCUUCCCUCAUCUCCCACAACCGCCUGGUGACUGCUGCUCACUGCAAGUCAGAUGGUGUCUUGACCGCUAACUCCUUCACCGUUGUGCUUGGCUCCAACACCCUGUUCUUCGGCGGUACUCGUAUCAACACCAACGAUGUCGUCAUGCACCCCAACUGGAACCCCAAUACUGCUGCCAAUGACAUCGCUGUCCUGCGCAUCAGCUCCGUCAGCUUCAGUAACGUGAUCCAGCCCAUCGCUCUUCCUAGUGGAGCUGAACUCAACAACCUCUUCGUCGGCGCCAACGCUCUUGCCUCCGGAUUUGGCCGCACUAGCGACAGUGGCAGUAUCGGUACCAACCAACAGCUGAGCUCUGUGACCAUCCCCGUGAUCACCAACGCUCAGUGCGCCGCCGUAUAUGGCUCUGGGUUCGUGCACGCUUCCAACAUUUGCACCAGCGGCGCCGGCGGCAAGGGUACUUGCAACGGUGACUCCGGUGGCCCUCUCGCUGUCGACAGCAACAACAGGAAGAUCUUGGUAAGAUAUUCUUUGCAAAUGACGAUUUCUUAAUCUGCAGCAUAAAUGGUAAAACAAGUGAAAGAUUUCUGUGAAUGCAAUUAAGCUAUCAGGAAAGAAAGAACUUUUAGUCUAAAGUUUCACUACAAAAGAAUAGCUCAAUUUUCAAGAAGUGACCAGUAGUGUAAUGUUAUUAUCUUUUAUAAUAUUUAUCAAUUCCAUACAGAUCGGUGUUACCUCAUACGGUGCCCAGGCUGGUUGCGCCGCUGGUUUCCCUGCAGCCUUCGCGAGAGU